RNAcentral lists this ribosomal RNA (2724 nucleotides) under Engaeus fossor. RNAcentral's name for it is "partial 28S ribosomal RNA". It matches the Rfam family "Eukaryotic large subunit ribosomal RNA", at positions 118 to 1882 of the family's 3401-position model. Lineage: Eukaryota; Metazoa; Arthropoda; Malacostraca; Decapoda; Parastacidae. The record is from RNAcentral.
ACCUCGUGUGUCCUACCGGCCCCGAGGGGUGUUGCGUUUCGGAGGGGUCCAGCACGCCGUGACAUACUGCCUAAGUCUUAGUUUGGAACGCGGCCACUACCCAGGGAGGGUGACAGGCCCGUACGGCGGUUCCCGCGAGGGCAUAGGUGUCGCGGUCGGAAAGGACCUCUCCGUAGAGUCGGGUUGCUUGAAAGUGCAGCCCAAAGCAGGUGGUAAACUCCAUCUAAGGCUGAAUAUGACCAGGAGACCGAUAGCGAACAAGUACCGUGAGGGAAAGUUGAAAAGAACUUUGAAGAGAGAGUUCAAGAGUACGUGAAACCGUUAAGAGCCAAAACGGAUGGAAGCUCGAAGGUCGAACUUGGGGGAUUCAGCUCGUCGGGCGUCGGCUGUGGUCGGGUGUUCGUUAACUCGCGUGCGACCCGAGAGUGCUCGGGCGCGCUCGACUGCACGCUGGCGUCGGCGGGCGUAUUUCGCCUUUAGUAGGGCGCCGCGACCCGUCGCUGGGGACGUCGAAGGCCCGGACGGACUGGUACCCUAUUUCCAAAGCGUCGUGGUGGUCGCCUGUCUCUCUUCGGGGGGACGACGACGACCGGGGCGAUUGCGGGAGUAGGCGAAACCGCCGGUGUAUAUUAUAUUUCCUGGCUGCCCUGCGACGGUCGUAGAGACGAGCUCCGCUCUUCUCCUCGUCCUCGUCCUCCUCCUCGUGGGGGGAGCGGGGAACGAGAGAUGGCGGGGCUCUCGCGGCGUGCAAACAGAUCGGUGGUCCAUCCGACCCGUCUUGAAACACGGACCAAGGAGUCUAACAUGUGUGCGAGUCAUUGGGCGCACUAAACCCAAAGGCGUAAUGAAAGUGACAAGCCAUUCCGGCGCCCCCAUGGGCGCCGGACAAUGGGCCGAUCCCCAGCCGGCUGCCUCUGCCGUUACUCCCCGUCGACCCGGCAUGCUUAGGUGAGGUAGUUUCCCUGGCCGCUGCCCAGCGAGUCGUCGUGGGGGUGUCUGGCUGGAGCGCAAAGGCGUGUGUGUGAGUGUGAGGAACAUCAUCAUCAUCAUCAUGACAUUUCCUGUCCGCAGGGGGGCGCACGCCCGGGACUUGCCAUGACGCCGCCAGGCCACCUCUCUCUCCUGAAGCAGCUGCUGCAGCUUGCGGAUGGUAUUGCGGUGGUCAUCAGGCGUGCAGUCGGCAAGUACCAUGAGCAGACAUGUUAGCACCCGAAAGAUGGUGAACUAUGCCUGGCCAGGAUGAAGCCAGAGGAAACUCUGGUGGAGGUCCGUAGCGAUUCUGACGUGCAAAUCGAUCGUCUGAGCUGGGUAUAGGGGCGAAAGACUAAUCGAACCAUCUAGUAGCUGGUUCCCUCUGAAGUUUCCCUAAGGAUAGCUGGAACUCGCAGGAUGAAUUUCAUCCGGUAAAGCGAAUGAUUAGAGGUCUUGGGGACGAAACGUCCUCAACCUAUUCUCAAACUUUAAAUGGGUGAGAUGCCGAGCUUGCUUGAACGCUCUCUGUGUGUGUGUGUGUGUGAAGCUUCGGCGACUAACUGAGUAUCUAGUGGGCCAAUUUUGGUAACAAAUGGCGCUGUGGGAUGAACCAAACGUCGAGUUAAGGGGCCUAAAUGAAUGCUCAUUCAAUCCCAUCAAAGGCGUUGGUUGCUCUAACAGCAGAGGUGGCCAUGGAAGUUGGAAUCCGCUUAGGAGUGUGUAACAACUCACCUGCCGAACAACUAUCCUGAAAAUGGUAUGGCGCUCAAGCAUUCUCCCGAUACUCGACCGCCGGGGCACUAGCGGCCACGCACCCUACAACGAGUGCGAGGUCUCGAAGCCCCGGUGAGUAAGAGGGUCGCAGUGGUGAGCUUAGAAGGGGUCCGGCGUGAGCCGGCCUGGAGCCGCCACUGGUGCAGAUCUUGGUGGUAGUAGCAAAUAUUCGAGAGAGACGCCCUUGCAGACCGAUGUGGAGAAGGGUUCCAUGUGAACAUCAGUUGGACAUGGGUUAGUCGCUCCUAAGUCCAAGGCCAAGGCCUGAUCCCACGGUAGCGGCGAAGGCCAAACAACCUAACCAAACCUAACCUAACCUUACCUAACCAACCAAGAGGUAUUUCUCCAAGGGUACCGAGGGAGGUAGGUAGGUGGGUAGAGGUAGGUCCGAACCACCCAACUAGACGAUAAAGCCAUCCUUUUGUGCACAAUGUUAAAAAGGAGGGUGGGCGGGCCCUCCGUCACGGCGGCGGCGGCGGCGGCGGCCGGAGUUCGUUGCCUUGCGCGCGCGACUUGCUGGUGCCGCCGCCAGCCGGGAGGUGCCCAAGCGUCUUUAUGGAGUUGCCUGGGGGUUAGUGGCGAAAGGGAAUACGGUAAAUAUUCCGUAACCUGGACUGGGAUACACAGCAGUCGCAAGCACUGCUUGGGCUGUGUGUGGAGUACGUCUGCUGACGGGAACCAACUCGCCUACGCCGGCGGUGGUCCGGGAAAGAGUUUUCUUUUCUGUUUAAGGCGCCGUGACCCUGGCAAGCCAUUUGCCGAAAGAGAGGGUGUUGGUAUCACGGUUUGUUCCGAAGAGCGCCGCGGUUCUUGCGGCGUCCCGAGUGCCAUCGCCGGACCUUGAAACAGCGAGGGAUUGGUCUUUUAACUCCAGGGGCGAGUGUCGGUUGAACGAGUAUGUGCGCGGGAAGCCGUCACUUUGCCUUAUUUCGGUCCAGCGCGUAUCCAUUCCGCAUCAGGUCUCCAAGUAAGCAGCCU